UCCAGGUAAAUCCGGUUCACUUUAACACUGAGGCGUGAUGACGAGGCACUACGGUGCUGAAGCAACAAAUGCCCUGCUUCCAGGAAAAGCCUCUAAGCAUCAGGUAACAUCAAAUCGUACCCCAAACCGACACAGGUGGUCAGGUAGAGAAUACCAAGGCGCUUGAGAGAACUCGGGUGAAGGAACUAGGCAAAAUGGUGCCGUAACUUCGGGAGAAGGCACGCUGACACGUAGGUGAAGUGAUUUACUCAUGGAGCUGAAGUCAGUCGAAGAUACCAGCUGGCUGCAACUGUUUAUUAAAAACACAGCACUGUGCAAACACGAAAGUGGACGUAUACGGUGUGACGCCUGCCCGGUGCCGGAAGGUUAAUUGAUGGGGUCAGCGCAAGCGAAGCUCCUGAUCGAAGCCCCGGUAAACGGCGGCCGUAACUAUAACGGUCCUAAGGUAGCGAAAUUCCUUGUCGGGUAAGUUCCGACCUGCACGAAUGGCGUAAUGAUGGCCAGGCUGUCUCCACCCGAGACUCAGUGAAAUUGAACUCGCUGUGAAGAUGCAGUGUACCCGCGGCAAGACGGAAAGACCCCGUGAACCUUUACUAUAGCUUGACACUGAACAUUGAGCCUUGAUGUGUAGGAUAGGUGGGAGGCUUUGAAGUGUGGACGCCAGUCUGCAUGGAGCCGGCCUUGAAAUACCACCCUUUAAUGUUUGAUGUUCUAACGUGGACCCGUGAUCCGGGUUGCGGACAGUGUCUGGUGGGUAGUUUGACUGGGGCGGUCUCCUCCUAAAGAGUAACGGAGGAGCACGAAGGUUGGCUAAUCCUGGUCGGACAUCAGGAGGUUAGUGCAAUGGCAUAAGCCAGCUUGACUGCGAGCGUGACGGCGCGAGCAGGUGCGAAAGCAGGUCAUAGUGAUCCGGUGGUUCUGAAUGGAAGGGCCAUCGCUCAACGGAUAAAAGGUACUCCGGGGAUAACAGGCUGAUACCGCCCAAGAGUUCAUAUCGACGGCGGUGUUUGGCACCUCGAUGUCGGCUCAUCACAUCCUGGGGCUGAAGUAGGUCCCAAGGGUAUGGCUGUUCGCCAUUUAAAGUGGUACGCGAGCUGGGUUUAGAACGUCGUGAGACAGUUCGGUCCCUAUCUGCCGUGGGCGCUGGAGAACUGAGGGGGGCUGCUCCUAGUACGAGAGGACCGGAGUGGACGCAUCACUGGUGUUCGGGUUGUCAUGCCAAUGGCACUGCCCGGUAGCUAAAUGCGGAAGAGAUAAGUGCUGAAAGCAUCUAAGCACGAAACUUGCCCCGAGAUGAGUUCUCCCUGAGACUUUAGGUCUCCUGAAGGAACGUUGAAGACGACGACGUUGAUAGGCCGGGUGUGUAAGCGCAGCGAUGCGUUGAGCUAACCGGUACUAAUGAACCGUGAGGCUUAACCUUACA
Molecule: ribosomal RNA, 1423 nt
Filed under: Salmonella enterica
Lineage: Bacteria; Pseudomonadati; Pseudomonadota; Gammaproteobacteria; Enterobacterales; Enterobacteriaceae
Description: partial 23S ribosomal RNA
Rfam family: Bacterial large subunit ribosomal RNA
Source: RNAcentral